RNAcentral lists this long non-coding RNA (216 nucleotides) under Elaeis guineensis (African oil palm). Its description in RNAcentral is "long non-coding RNA (EGUI_LNC080398)". The record is from RNAcentral. Lineage: Eukaryota; Viridiplantae; Streptophyta; Magnoliopsida; Arecales; Arecaceae.
GCCUUGGGAGCUGCUCCCUAACCUCCAUCAGCACUUGAGCUUUCGAGGUGUUGAGAGGGGCAUAGCUGUGGAACCUUCCAAGAGGAGAGCCUCGCCGAACUCGACGGUCUGGGCUUUUCUGCUUACAAGCUCGGGGAGGAGUUCAGACGUGCCUAUGUCCGGGAGGAAUUCGAGAACGUAGUCGAGCUUCACUCGGCCCUUUUUCAACUGUGGGUU